GUCAGGAUGGCCGAGCAGUCUAAGGCGCUGCGUUCAGGCCCCAGAGACGUGGGUUCGAAAUCCCACUCCUGACA
Molecule: transfer RNA, 74 nt
Filed under: Loxodonta africana (African savanna elephant)
Lineage: Eukaryota; Metazoa; Chordata; Mammalia; Proboscidea; Elephantidae
Description: tRNA-Leu (CAG) (tRNA-Leu-CAG-8-1)
Rfam family: tRNA
About the family: Transfer RNA (tRNA) molecules are approximately 80 nucleotides in length. Their secondary structure includes four short double-helical elements and three loops (D, anti-codon, and T loops).
Source: RNAcentral